CACACGACUCUCGGCAACGGAUAUCUCGGCUCUCGCAUCGAUGAAGAACGUAGCGAAAUGCGAUACCUGGUGUGAAUUGCAGAAUCCCGCGAACCAUCGAGUCUUUGAACGCAAGUUGCGCCCGAGGCCAUCCGGCCGAGGGCACGCCUGCCUGGGCGUCACG
Molecule: ribosomal RNA, 163 nt
Filed under: Koeleria pyramidata
Lineage: Eukaryota; Viridiplantae; Streptophyta; Magnoliopsida; Poales; Poaceae
Also listed under: 72 other names
Description: 5.8S ribosomal RNA
Rfam family: 5.8S ribosomal RNA
About the family: 5.8S ribosomal RNA (5.8S rRNA) is a component of the large subunit of the eukaryotic ribosome.
Source: RNAcentral